Molecule: non-coding RNA, 361 nt
Organism: Paramuricea clavata
Lineage: Eukaryota; Metazoa; Cnidaria; Anthozoa; Malacalcyonacea; Plexauridae
Source: the annotation of a GenBank genome assembly
CGUCCCACAAGCGUAAGAGCUGUUUUGUGAAAACCUUCUCAAUCAUGUAAUAAGUCAGUUAAUUACCUCGAACCUCGGCAUUUAUCCAUAUACAGCCCUCGGCGCUACGCGCCUCGGGCUGUAUAUGGCGAAAUGCCUCGCUUCUCGGUAAUUAACUCUUACUAAAUGAAUAAUUUAGACAUUGUCCUCACUCUGUUUACAACGCCAAAUCACAGAUUUUCACGUCUUGAUACAACGGCUGCAUUCCAAGCCACAACAAGUGCAACUUCAAACUGGGUUUACCAGAACUCUUCCCAACCAUAAAACCCAUGUCUUCAACUUCUAAGACUGUAUUAAAUUCAUACGAUUGAUAAUAUACGAC